CUGGCGGCGUGCCUAAUACAUGCAAGUCGAACGGUCUUUCUAUGGAAGCUUGCUUCCACUGAGAAGAUAGUGGCGGACGGGUGAGUAACACGUGGGUAACCUGCCCAUAAGAGGGGGAUAACAUCCGGAAACGGGUGCUAAUACCGCAUAGUUUUCUUGAUCGCAUGAUCGAGAAAGGAAAGACGGCCUUUGUGCUGUCGCUUAUGGAUGGACCCGCGGCGUAUUAGUUAGUUGGUGAGGUAAUGGCUCACCAAGACGAUGAUACGUAGCCGACCUGAGAGGGUGAUCGGCCACAUUGGGACUGAGACACGGCCCAAACUCCUACGGGAGGCAGCAGUAGGGAAUCUUCCGCAAUGGACGAAAGUCUGACGGAGCAACGCCGCGUGAGUGAAGAAAGGUUUUCGGAUCGUAAAACUCUGUUGUCAGAGAAGAACAAGUUGGAGAGUAACUGCUCCAGCCUUGACGGUAUCUGACCAGAAAGCCACGGCUAACUACGUGCCAGCCGCCGC
Molecule: ribosomal RNA, 509 nt
Filed under: uncultured bacterium
Lineage: Bacteria
Description: bacterial SSU rRNA
Rfam family: Bacterial small subunit ribosomal RNA
Source: RNAcentral